Molecule: ribosomal RNA, 770 nt
Filed under: uncultured archaeon
Lineage: Archaea
Description: bacterial SSU rRNA
Rfam family: Archaeal small subunit ribosomal RNA
Source: RNAcentral
CUCAGUAACACGUGGAUAACCUUCCCUUAGGACCGGAAUAACCCCGGGAAACUGGGGAUAAUACCGGAUAAGCCAUAGACGCUGGAAUGCCCUAUGGUUCAAAGCUCCGGCGCCUAAGGAUGGAUCUGCGGUCUAUCAGGUUGUAGUGGGUGUAACGUACCUACUAGCCGACGACGGAUACGGGUUGUGAGAGCAAGAGCCCGGAGAUGGAUUCUGAGACACGAAUCCAGGCCCUACGGGGUGCAGCAGGCGCGAACACUUUACAAUGCGGGAAACCGCGAUAAGGGAACCCCGAGUGCCAGCAUCAAAUGUUGGCUGUCCAGAUGAUUAAAAAUCAUUUGUUAGCAAGGGCCGGGCAAGACCGGUGCCAGCCGCCGCGGUAACACCGGCGGCCCGAGUGGUAGCCGUUUUUAUUGGGUCUAAAGGGUCCGUAGCCGGCCUGAUAAGUCCUUUGGGAAAUCUGGCAGCUUAACUGUCAGGCUUCUAAGGGAUACUGUCAGGCUUGGGACCGGAAGAGGUAAGGGGUACUCCAGGGGUAGGAGUGAAAUCUUGUAAUCCCUGGGGGACCAUCUGUGGCGAAGGCGCCUUACCAGAACGGGUCCGACGGUGAGGGACGAAAGCUAGGGGAGCAAACCGGAUUAGAUACCCGGGUAGUCCUAGCUGUAAACGAUGCUCGCUAGGUGUCAGACACGGUGCGACCGUGUUUGGUGCCGCAGGGAAGCCGUUAAGCGAGCCACCUGGGAAGUACGGUCGCAAGGCUGAAACUAAAG